UCAAUCUUAAGAUUAACUCCGAUGAGUGA
Molecule: small RNA, 29 nt
Filed under: Bombyx mori (domestic silkworm)
Lineage: Eukaryota; Metazoa; Arthropoda; Insecta; Lepidoptera; Bombycidae
Description: ovarian small RNA-24850
Source: RNAcentral